CGUCAUCAUCAUCAUCGCUUCACCGGCCUGCCCCAAUACAAUUGCCUUGCCCAGCAUCCCACAAUCUACGCACUCGAUCGCACUGAACAAAGGACGUAACCUGUGAAGAUAGGCAGCGAUAGAUAAGGAGCCCUACGGUUCCAUCCCAUCCCCGACGCGCACUGGUAGGAGGAUUACCCCCAUGCUACGAGGUCGUCCGGCAGGCAUCGAGAAGAUUUGUUUUCAAAAUGCACCACAACUUAUGCGGUUUAAUGGCCUCGGAACCGAGGAUCGAAACCAAAAACGGAGAUCAACAAAAGAAGAAAUACGCUACUCAGAACGCGACCCGAAAUUUGAUCCGUAACGUAUCCUUCACCUAUCAUCGCAGCACAGAUAAUAGGGAUACAGAAGGAGUACCCCAAGCCGGAGAAUAAUAAUGAUAAUAAAAAGAACGAUUAUGGCAAUAAACUGCACUGGCAAGUGUUUUUGGGUUUCUGUUUUUGCUGAGCUGCAAUUCUUCGAAAAAUAAAUGAUUAAAUAUGA
Molecule: long non-coding RNA, 522 nt
Organism: Aedes aegypti (yellow fever mosquito)
Lineage: Eukaryota; Metazoa; Arthropoda; Insecta; Diptera; Culicidae
Exons: 2
Source: RefSeq, a predicted model, not a curated record